AGACAAACAUAUGUUAGGUUUGAUGCAUAACUUUUAUAUCCAGGAUAGCAGUAGAAUAAACUAUUUAUACCUUUGUUUGCUUCGAAUGUAUGGAACUUAAUUUACCAAAAGAAUCCCUGCAGUUUGCAAGUCCUAUUAUGGAUGUUACUUGGUUGGGUAGAGGUUUUUGAGUUAGUUUUUUGCUUAAAAGUUAGCAAUUUCGAUACUUCUUAUCUGCUAAGGACACCAAUGUGUUGGCCUGUCUCAGUUGUGCUGAACUGAUGGAGUUGCUCUGAAUGACUUUGCAACCUACUUGCAUUUGGUUCAUUCUCUAUGCUUAAAUAUAUCUUCUUGUGCUGUUUAGCUUGUAUUAAUUAUGUUUGUUCUUUAAGAACCCUAGCACUAUAAUGGAAAAUGCAAUUGAAUUGUUAUUAGCAUAUUGUGGUGUUUGAAAAAAGCCUCUGGUUCUAUCCUAUACAUGUUAUGAAGAAAGUCUUCCUUAUUCCAAUUUUGAUAUGCUAGCUGAUAUAAAUAAAUAUAUUGCAGGUGGAUACAGUGGCCAGCUUUUAUGUUUAGCAUACUUGUUGACUAUUUUUCAUUUUGGGCAAUGUGGGACAUAAUGUUUUUUACUUAUCCUAUAAGUUAGCAGUGUCUGAACAAU
This 640-nucleotide unclassified non-coding RNA is filed under the name Hevea brasiliensis (rubber tree). The record is from RNAcentral. Lineage: Eukaryota; Viridiplantae; Streptophyta; Magnoliopsida; Malpighiales; Euphorbiaceae.